This 449-nucleotide ribosomal RNA is filed under the name uncultured bacterium. RNAcentral describes it as "partial 16S ribosomal RNA". It matches the Rfam family "Bacterial small subunit ribosomal RNA", at positions 29 to 523 of the family's 1533-position model. The record is from RNAcentral.
AACGAACGCUGGCGGCAUGCCUAACACAUGCAAGUCGAACGAAGCCUUCGGGCUGAGUGGCGCACGGGUGCGUAACGCGUGGGAAUCUGCACCUGGGUUCGGGAUAACAGUUAGAAAUGACUGCUAAUACCGGAUGAUGUCUCUGGACCAAAGAUUUAUCGCCCAAGGAUGAGCCCGCGUAGGAUUAGGUAGUUGGUGGGGUAAUGGCCCACCAAGGCGACGAUCCUUAGCUGGUCUGAGAGGAUGAUCAGCCACACUGGGACUGAGACACGGCCCAGACUCCUACGGGAGGCAGCAGUGGGGAAUAUUGGACAAUGGGCGAAAGCCUGAUCCAGCAAUGCCGCGUGAGUGAUGAAGGCCUUAGGGUUGUAAAGCUCUUUUACCAGGGAUGAUAAUGACAGUACCUGGAGAAUAAGCUCCGGCUAACUCCGUGCCAGCCGCCGCUGUAA